GGAUUUUCUAGAGCUUUUCGUACUUAUACUAAAUGUUUCAUCAUUCAUUUACCAGUCUUUCAUAUCAACUAAUCAAAGCAAUGACAUUAAAUACUUAUGAACUCACCAGCUUAAAUGCUGAUCUACUCUUUCAAAAUAACUUGUAUUCUCAGGUUACAAAUAGACAGGUGUCGAUACAAGGUUCAGAGAAGACGGAGCAGUCAAGACUCGUUUUUUUUUUUUUUUUGAUAAGUUAUUAUCAUAUCUUGUACAAUGAAAGAAAACACUUGUAACUAAAAUUAUACUAUUGAUGCAAUGGAUGAUGUUGUUGCUUGUUUACUACUUUACAUUUGUUGUGAUGCAUACAUGACGUCCUCCGCCCCAGAACGUUUCCGCCGUUCUUGGUUUUGGGGUGUGACAGAUUGGUAUCAGAGCAUUGUUUAUAGUGAAUUGAGUAUAUCAACCCAUAAAAGAUAUACUAACUAUAAAUACAAUGGGAUUAAAAAUACUCUGAUUUAGAGUUUAUACUUUAAAUAAUAAAAUAUUUAAGUAAGUAUACGUGCUGCAUUCAUACUAAAAUCAGUGUCACUAGGACAGUACAAAAGAAUUACGAUUGUUGGGCAACACAAGUGGGCUUAGAGACAUAUGGUCAAAACUGGGAAGAUAUAGCCUGAUCGCCUAUAUUAUCCGAGGGUUGACUAGCAUGUGCCUAAGUUUAAGUGUGUAGUCGCAACAAUGCUAAAAUCUUACCAACCCUACCACAAUGAGAACAAUAGAACAUAACAUAAAAAUUAAAAUACUAUAGGAGUAUUUGGUGUUACUAUAAGUACUUUAUACUUGAGAAUUAAAACGGGAUCCUCAUUACUAAGUUGAUAGUUGCUAAGUGGAUACACUAAGGCUACAUGUAAUUAGGAUGUUAUAGACUUAGAAUCAGUGAUAAUUUUGCCUUACCCCUAUUCUGUGUGAAUUUGGAAAUAAGGUCACUUAUUCGAAGGUCUAUCCUGUUUAGAUUACACAUAGCUGGUAUGCACUUCACAAAUAGUGAUGUAACUAAUGAGGGUUUUCUAAAUAAUUAUCUAGAUAGUUCGUCUAAUAAUUAUCCACUUACCCUAAAUUCUCGCAUAGAAAUCAUAGUUGGGCUCCAUCCCCUUGACAACCAGUAUCUUCCGAAUGAAGUCAUAGCUGGUUGGUUUGGAGAAGAACCAGAGAAUGAUCAUCCUAUCCCUUUGGAUGAUCAUCAUGAUGAAAACCUUUCAGCCGAUGCUAAUUCCGAACUAGAGGUUGAGAACCUACCUCGAGCAACUCCCUUUCCAAUUCCUAACCCUCGUCCAGCUCUUCAUGGCCCGACGCCUGAUUCGGUGGAAUGCUUGGAAACAUGAAGCCAAGAACAAGAUCAGCCCAUGCCAUUUAUUGGCGACCGAAACUUUUACGACCUGAGCAAUGGGGGCUCAGCAGGUAGAAUCUUGCCAAUCAUGGUCCGCAGAGUGGCCCAAAAUGAGAUUCAAGGCAGGACAGCCCAACAUCAGAUUGCCGAAGUUGUCACCGAUGCAAGAAUGAAUACCCUCCACACCACUCAUCUAGAAGAUGCUCACAAGAGAUCAGAAAGAAACCAUGAGAACCUGCUGCAAACACUAGCUGAAAACCCGAGCCAAAGUCAUAGAGCUCCAAGUACGCCAGAGGGUGUAAUAGAGACACCUACUUGACAUGGAACGUCAAUUGGUUGAACUAAGAAUUCACCAGAGGAAUUACCGUCACCAGUAGUAGACGCUUUACUUUAUUUCCCUUACAAAAAGAGGAAUCGUAUUCUUCUGUCUAUGCCUGAUGUGGCAUUUUCUAUGAAAUUAUCUUGUACCGUAAGUACUUUAGUUAGGUCUUUAUACUGUCAGGAACUAUCUCCUGUGUAUAUGAUGUAAGACCUUUACAAGGCCAUUUUCCUGAACCUUUACGCCGUAAAUAUCCAAGAUAUUGACCGCCGGCUAACUUUUGUGUCAUUUCCAUCAUUCAAGUACUCUUAUCAUACUCUCAUUGGAGUCUAUCUGAAACCUGCUUUAGUUAAGUCAUUGGACCAUAGCAAGUUAGAUACGGAGACAUUUCCAAGUCUCUUUCAGUGGUUGGAUUUUAUUAUUCACCAAUCCACGAUACCUCAACUUGUACAACAAACAGUGACAUUCCAUACCACCACCAUCCCUACUACCUCAGUGCCAACAAGACCAUAUGUUGGAAACCUGCCAAAAUGCACCAAGUGUAGCUUUCAUCACAAAGGAAAGUGCAGGGAAAUGCAUUGCAAGAACUAUAAUGAAAAAGGGGCAUACCACAAAGUUCUGUAGGGUGCCGGCUCAACAGACCAACCAGAACACAAAAGCUGGGAUGAGUCGGACUUGCUACAGAUGUGGAGAAGUAGGGCAUUUCAUAAAGGAGUUCCCGGAGACUAAAAACAAAGAUGUCAAGAGCAUCGGAAGUGUUUUAGCAACAGAGCGUGGGAAAGCAGUAAUAGACCCCGCUGAGAUUCCGGUACGUUCAUUCCCGAUAGCACAUAUGCAUGGAUACUAUAUAAUAGCAACGCGGAGAGGAGUAUUGUGAGUCGUAGAUUUAAUCAAUUUCUCAACCAAAAACCUCAAAAACUUAAACGAAAUAUUUACAGUAGAAUUGGAAUAAUCAAAAGCACUAGAGACGUGUACAUAGGGUGCACUCUAACACUAAAUCAACCAAUUCAUUCAAAUCAUCCUAAAACCGGUCACAAUAAAAAUUUACGACAUUUUCAUUUUAACAACGUAUUAGUUAGUUUCCUCACCAUACCGAUAUCAUAUAUUACGAAAAGUCCAUUCGCCUAAACCCAUCGAGUAAUAGAACCCUCGUUGUCUAUAACGACAAACCGGACACAAUCCCCCGACUCACCUUUUGCAACAAGACUCAGAAGUACCUACACAGGAGGCACCACGCCGUCCUAGCCUGUGCUGUGGAUAAGAAACAAGAAGAGAAAGACAUCAUGGAUGUUGAAAAAGCCCGUAACCUUCUCGAUAUAUUCCGAGAAGAUCUCCUGGGAAUACCAUCCAUACGGUAACCCGAGUUCAAAAAUCAACCUAAGUGUAGUAGUUGCGGAAAAGGGUUGUGGUAAAUGCCAUCUCACCCAAGUUAAUCACCCCACUCAAGUAGAGACUAUGGACCCAUACUAGUGAAUCUAUGAUUACUAAGUGUAUAUAUUGGAGCCCUAUAUAAUUAAGAUUCUACGGACUUAGGGUUGGUAAUUCCGCUUUAAAUCCUUUUCCUUGUUUGGAUGUGGGCUUAGAAUAGAAUCACCGAUUCGACUGUCUUUUCAAUCUUAAUUAUAUACGACUUAUAAACACAAAGAGAUGAUAGAUGAAUCAGUUAUGAGUCAUACCAUGAACUCCAUGACAAGUUACCCAGGACAGUGGAUGGACAUGCUACCACUUGAGCGAUCGUAGACAAAUCAACCAAACCCACACACUUUCUACCGACCAAGGAUACAAAGAAAAAUAGAAAAGCUAACAGGAGCAUAUACAAAGAAAAUUGCGAGACUGCAUAGUAUACCACUAUCUAUCAUUUUGGAUAAGGGACAGGCGAUUCGCCUCGUGUUUUUAAUAGUCGUUAAAGAAGUCCUUUUUAUCACCCUCAAACUGAAAGACAAAGAGGAAGAACCAUUCAUCGAAUCCUUAUACAACAUCAACUAUUACAUUAACAUCAAGGUCACGUCAUUCGAAGCUCUCUGCAGAAGCAAGUGUAGAUCACCUCUUUGAUGGGAUGAGGUAGGUGACACACAAAUAGCUAACAGGCAAGUUCCUAACAACACUUUCACCAGCCCCCAGAUCAUACGAGAAACUACAGAGAAGAUUGUUCAAACCCGUGAAUGAUUGAAGGCAUCCCAGGAUCGGAAGAAGAGCUUGUCUGAUGAGACUCUUGUUAUUCCACUGGAUGAAAUUGAAAUCAACGGGAGUCUAAACUUCAUCGAAGAACCGGUGGAAAUCAUGGAUCAGGAGGUCAAAAGGACGAAACAAAGCCGCAUACCCAUAGUGAAGGCCCGUUGGAACGCCAAGCGAGGACCUGAAUUCACUAGGGAACGCGCGAAUCAAAAAAAAAAAAAUAAAAAAAAGAAACACCCCCAAUUGUUUAGUGAUAUCCCGUCUACAAGUUGAAUUUCGGGGCGAAAUUCUUUUAACGGGGGGAGAAUGUAACAAUUGGUAAAAAUAGGAACGAUCGUACGAUGCUAUCUUUUGAUUAUUAAGCAAUAUGAGUAUUUUAUUAAGAAUGGUUGAAGGAAUUUAACCUCUUUUAUUUAAAUAAGUUAUUGUGAAAUAUAAAACAAGUAACUAUUGAUAAAUUUCGUUAUGAUGUAUGACUACGAACCAUCACCGGUUUGUGAAAUUAGCAUAUAACAUCAUUUAAACGCAACAAACUUAAUUUUUGUAUCAACAUGUCUCUAUUUGAUAAGUAAGUUAGGUUCUAUGUAAAACGUUUGCUUAAUAGAUGUGAAGGAUCUAAAUUUGACAAAUAUACGAACCAAAGUGACAAAACGUGUUUAACGAUAUGGUUAACCGGUUAAAUGUCACGAAAUUAUACAUUGCUCAAUAAAUUUUAUAUUUAAAUAAAUUAAAAUAUAAAAUGAAUUAUUAUAAGGUAUAAUUAAAAUGUAUUUAAGUGUUUUUGAAUAAAAAGAAUAAAACAUAAACAUUAAAGUUCAAAUACACAAAAACUACAUUGUUAUUUUAUACUAAGUAUACAUGUAUGUAUUUGUAUAUAUGUAUUAUUAUCUAGUGAAUGACUAGUUAUAAGUCAUGAAUUAAAAUGAUUUCAUGUAAGUUUUAUGAUGUCUAAAUCAAUUAAGAUAAGAGAAUUGGUGGAGAUAAGUGCCAACUUAACUAAUAAGUGCUUAAUCACUUAAGACAUUUUACUAAGAAUGCUUAUUAAUCCCUCUUCUAAUUUUCGAGAUUAAGACCUUCCCUCUCCUUAACUAGAACUCCUAACUAACUAAAUAACUAGUAGUUAGUUAGUUAACUAACUCUAUCUCUAAACAACCACCCAAGCAAGUGGCUAGACAAGAUCACAUCACUUAAACUCACAUCCCAUCACAAGCUAGUCUAGGUUUUGUCCCCUUAUCCUCUUCCACCCUUUCCUCCUUCAUAACCACGAAAUUUCCUCUUCAUUUUACCCUCAUUUGACCAGCCAAUACUCCAAGUAAUUACUCUCAACCUUCAUCUCAUUUUCAAGCACAAGAACUUCCUUCCAAAGCCAUCAAAACCAUGAACUAAAGGGUUGCUGUCCCUUUUGUGUUUCAGCCACCAUUUCACCCAUCUACACCUUCCUUUUGCUUGAUAUUUUUACCACCAAAUACCCCUGGAAGUUACUUGUUUUGAUACUCAAAAUUAUUGAUUCAAAACAGUGAGUAAACUACCCUUUUUCUUGCACUUUUGCUGUGAAAUUUUCGUGACAGCAACAUAGCCAAAAGAGUGGCUGUUUUGGAGCAUCAAACCAACAACCAAAAGUUCAUCUUCAACUUUCCAUUCUUCAAGUAUUCACAUAAGGUGAGUUCAUACCCCUACAUUUUCAUGUUUUAUUCAAGUUUUAAGGGGGGGAAUACAAGUUAGAACACUAAACAUAACUUAAAUUUAAAUGACAGCUUUCUACAGAAAAGUUGAGUCCUGUUCACGGACUGUUUUGACCAUCUUAAACUUAAUAUCUUUCAAAACUGUACAAUAUGCAAAUAGUUCAAGUUUAUACCUUUCUAAUGACUACUCGCACGCGUUCAUACGAUUUUUCUACAAUUUAUGGCGAUUUUUAUAAAACUGCCUGUCAUUUCAGAAGUGAUUUCGGACCAGUCUGUGAAGAUGUUCAUUUUCACACUAGUUUGAGACCACUAAAAAUCAUAAUAAAAAUUAGGAACAAAGUAGACUCAUUUUAUAAACUCUCAGAGGUGACGGAUUCAGUUUUUGACUUACGAGGAUUUUUCUAUGAGUUUUCUAAAAACAGGGACAGUAAAGGGCAAAACUGUCAAAAGUGGUUUAUACAUUUAUUAACACCUUCUAACAUUUUUUAGCAAUGUUUAUACAUUAAGGAAGUUAAAACACAAUCAUUUAAAUAUGUUUAAUUACCAUUUUUACAAAAGUGAUAAGUACAAAAAGGUCUUUAGUAUCAAACUUAAGGAUUAUUUCAUGCAAAGUUUCUAAUAAAAACGUAAGAAUAUGAACAACAAUUACGAAACAUACCAAAUCAUCUUUUAAAAUUUAUACAUAUAUAUAACCAUAUACAUAUAUAUGUUUUGUUUACAAAACUUCUUUAUGCUUUUAUAUUAUAAAUUGCAUGCCUCUAUAUGUAUAGUUAUAUAAGAAAUGUUUAAAAGACUUAGAAAGGCUAUCCACCCUGUUUCCUUUUCCUCGAUUUGGAUGUGGUCUGGUGGGAUAUCGGGUACUCCUCCGAAGGUCGUUUAAAUAUUAGUUAUAUAUCAUGUAUACAUAUAUGGUCAUAAAUGUUCCACCAGUUAAUUUAGUUUCGAUACUCCUGGGUAGCAAAGGUGUAUAAACCUACUUGGACACUCAUCAAUUACAUUCUAGUAAACUAUUAUAGGAAUAGUUUAGAGUAAACAAAACAUUUUCACUACUACAAGAAAUUACACCAGAGUCAGUUCAUUCAUGAGUCCAGACUACAUGUUAUAUGAAGGAAUACUUUUACAUGAAUACUUAUACAUGAAUACUUUUACAUAAACAUUAUAUGGCAAAUUACUACUACAUGUUAUAUGAAGGAAUACUCUUACCUGAAUACUUUUACAUGAAUACUUAUACAUGAAUACUUUUACAUAGACAUCAUAUGGCAAUUUAAUAUUACAUGUUAUAUGUCUAGAUACGGUUAUAUUGUUCGCCUUUCUAUCUUUACCUUGUGAUUCAAUCACAUCAUCGACGAGGUAGACUGGGACUUUAUCUCCUAGUACCACAUCAUACUUUGAGGGACUAACCAUUCCGAUAACCACUGCUAGCUACAGAGGUAAAUGAACAAUCUACGGAUGUUCUAGGUUGAUACCAUCGUGGGUAUACAGAAGGGACUAACUAUUCCUAAACCCGGCUGUUAGCAACAGAGGUAAAUGAACAGUCUACGGAUGUUCUAAGUUGAUACCAUUUCAGGUAUACUUAAGAGACUACUAAUAAGAGUUAAACAAGGAAAAACCAUCACAUUUUCAAGAGAUGCGUACUUUCAAAACAGUCAGGUCUAGGUAAAAGACUACUUUCAAAACAUUCGAGUCUUGGUAGAAGACUACUUUUAUACUAGUAGGAAAUAUGGGAUUUUCUAGAGCUUUUCGUACUUAUACUAAAUGUUUCAUCAUUCAUUUACCAGUCUUUCAUAUCAACUAAUCAAAGCAAUGACAUUAAAUACUUAUGAACUCACCAGCUUAAAUGCUGAUCUACUCUUUCAAAAUAACUUGUAUUCUCAGGUUACAAAUAGACAGGUGUCGAUACAAGGUUCAGAGAAGACGGAGCAGUCAAGACUCGUCUUUUUUUUUUGAUAAGUUAUUAUCAUAUCAUGUACAAUGAAAGAAAACACUUGUAACUAAAAUUAUACUAUUGAUGCAAUGGAUGAUGUUGUUGCUUGUUUACUACUUUACAUUUGUUGUGAUGCAUACAUGACGUCCUCCGCCCCAGAACGUUUCCGCCGUUCGUGGUUUUGGGGUGUGACAGAACACUUAAGAAUUCAAAUGAUUUGCUAGUAAGAUCAAUUGAAUAAUUUUAGGAGCAUAAAAAUUAGAAUAGGGGUAAGAAUUGGGGAUUUAUAGGUACUAGAAAGCCAAAAGUACAAAACUUUAAAUUUCAAAAAUAUGGAAAUAAGUGGAGAGAAAACCGCCAAAGUAACACAUUAAAUGCAUGUCCAAUCUCAUGUCAG
RNAcentral lists this long non-coding RNA (7860 nucleotides) under Lactuca sativa (garden lettuce). RNAcentral's name for it is "long non-coding RNA (LSAT_LNC000530)". Lineage: Eukaryota; Viridiplantae; Streptophyta; Magnoliopsida; Asterales; Asteraceae. The record is from RNAcentral.